Non-coding RNA from Pelobates cultripes (western spadefoot toad), 499 nucleotides. Lineage: Eukaryota; Metazoa; Chordata; Amphibia; Anura; Pelobatidae. The record is from the annotation of a GenBank genome assembly.
AACAUAACCCUUUAGAAUGGAAAGUGAAACAACUUUGAACACAGCUUGAAAACAGAAAAAGGUAUUGAUGGUCUAUUUUUCUCCUUUAUGAAUUUACAUAACAUUUUUUUUAACACUUAAUGCUAGCUUUAACUGAUUUGAGUUGACAUUUUUAUUGAUGAAUUUGGCGAGAAAAGCCAGUCUAAAUUAUCUAAUUUAACAGAUUAAUGUAGGAAGUAAAACAAUUUCCCUUCCCCUCUCCACAUCUCAUGUUGGUCCCAGUUUUAUUUUUUGUUUAUUAAAUUAGAACACUUAUUUUAUUUUAGUUCAUUUUAGAUCUUUCUUCUGUAGUGUCACUCACAUGUUGUCUUCUCCAUAGAGACCACUGUCAGAACCUCCAUCUUCCUGGGAUUGGGACCUAGAGGAAAUGGUGUCCUAAAAGAGAAAGAAAAGUACGGUCACCACCACGAUGAUCACUGUUAAUGCUAUGAAUAACGACCAACUAUCCCCUUCAGAAUCA